This is a non-coding RNA of Camellia sinensis, 841 nucleotides long. Lineage: Eukaryota; Viridiplantae; Streptophyta; Magnoliopsida; Ericales; Theaceae. The record is from RefSeq and is a predicted model, not a curated record.
AUACACAAGAAAAAUAAAUGAUAAAUGAAGGAAAUGCCUUUGUCUUAUUGUUAUGAGCCUCAUUUAAAGAGAGAUCAGUAAAUUUAUCCCUAUUUGUUCUGGAGUAAACAAUCAAGUUUCAAGAGAGAUCAGUAAAUUUAUCGACAAAUAUGAUGUCACUCUCGAUGUCUGCUCAUCAUCCGUUGGUUCACAAGCACAGGUUCUUAAUCAAUUGGUAGGCCUAGAUCUCCAGCUCUCCUAUACUUGUUUGUUUCUUUAUCUUUAGGAAACUCUUGUUUUCCUCUUCUUUUACUGUGUUAAUCAGUCUUGGCUCCAUCUAUAUCAAUCUUCAUUUACAGCAAGAUACAAAGAACAUAGAUGUCUGUGUAGAAGAUGAAACGGUUACUUACUUGAACCGGGAAGAUGUACAGAAAGCUUCCCAUGCGUGGCUUGUUGGAGUCACUGCAUGGAGUGUUUACAGCACUGUUCUCCAUUAUGAGAAGAAAAACCUAGAGAUACCAACAAUUCAUGUACUGGGUUCACUUGUCAAGUCUGGUAUUCGGGUCUUGGUUUUCAGUGGAGAUGAAGAUUCAGUUAUCCCAUUACUCGGAAUGUGUACACUGGUGAAUGAAUUGGCAAAGGAGUUGGAAUUGAAAACCACUGUUCCAUACAGAGUUUGGUUUGAAGGGAGACAAGUCACUGGAUGGACACAAGUAUAUGGUGAUAUACUAUCUUUUGCCACCAUUAAAGGAGCUGCGCAUGAAGCUCCAUUUUCACAACCAGAGAGAUUGCUUGUUCUUUUUAAUUCAUUUUUGGGUGGAAAUCCACCACCAGAGGCAGUACUGUCUGCUGAGAGCAUAUA